ACUAUUUAGCUUGUUUUCAAAAUUUGUUAAUCAAUGUAUUAUAUAUACUUUACAUGUUUUUAGGUAUCAGUUCACAGCAUAAAGAUUGCACAGUAAAUUGUUACAUGAAUAUGCCACAUUUUAUUUAGUAUAUUUCCUGUUAUUGGAUAUUUAUGUUAUUUAAAAAAUUUCCCCAUUUUCAAUAACCCAGUGAUAAAGUUUAUUUUUUACAUAUCUCUUAAUUGUUUUUCAGAAGACUCUUACCUCUUUUUCUCAUAUUUUUGUAACACUAUUAACCUUGAAGUAAUCACUAUUGUUUAUAAUUAUUUCCCAAAGAUGAAUAAGAGGCUUAUUAGGUGUGAAUAAUCUCUCCUCACAUCUAUGUCAUAUGCCAAGAUCAAUAAGGCAAAAUUACAUAUGUAAAGUGCUUGGAUUUAGUGUAUUACUGCUUUUUCUUAUAUCAAAAGAUUUGUUGUUCACAGAUGACAUAAUUAUCUACGUAAACAGUACAAAAGAACCGGCAAAAAACUAACUAGAACUAAUAAGUGAUCACAGCAAGGCUGCAGGAUACAAGGGUACUAUACAAGAGUCAAUCACUUUCCAAUAUACCAGCAAUGAAUAACUUGAAUUUGAAAUUAAAAACACAAUACUAUUUACAUUAGCACCACAAAAAAUGAAAUGCAUAGGUAGAAAUCUAACAAAAUAUGUACAGGAGCUAUAUGAGAAAACUUUGAUGAAAGAAAUCAAAGAAGAUCUAAAUAAAUGGAGAUAUAUUCCAUGUUCAUGGAUAGGAAAGCUCGGUAUCGUUAAGACAACAGUUCUUUCCAUCUUGAUUUAUAGAUUCAGUGAAAUCUCAAACAAAAUUCCAGCAAUAUAUUUUGCGGUUAUUGGAAAACUUACUGCAAGAUUUAUAUGGAGUUACAAAGGACUCUGAAUAGUAAAUAUAAUAUUGAAAUAGAAGAACAAAGUUGGAGGAUGGACACUACCUGACUUCAAGACUUACUAUAAAGCUAGAUUAAUCAAGACAGUAUAGUACUAAUGAAAAGGUUGACAAAUGGAUAGGUUGAACAGAACAGAUAGCACAGCAAUAUAUACACAUAAAGAAGCAAAGACACCAUGGUGGAAAAAAUGUAGUCUCUUCAAAAAAUAGUGGUAGAACAACUGGACAUUUAAUGAAAAUAUGAAUCUACACAUGGACCUUAUAUUCUUCACAACAAUUAACUCAAAAUGUAUCACAGUCCUAACUGUAAAACACAAGUUAUAAAGUUCUAAGAAGAUAAUAGGAGAAAACCUAGAUAACCUUGGGGUUGGUGGUGACAUUUUAGAUAUAACCUGAAAGUCAUGUUCCAUAAGCAAAAGAAUUGAUAAGCUGAACUUGGUUAAAAUAAAAAAAAAUCUUAUCUGUGAAAGACAUUGUCAAGAGGAUGAAAAGACAAGCCACAAACUGGGAGAAGAUAUUUGCAAAAGAUGUAACUGAUAAAGACUUGUUAUACAAAAUAUAUAAAGGGUUCUUAAAACUUGGGGGAAAAAAGCAAGCAAUCUAAAUAUGAAAUGUACCAAAGAUCUUAACAGACACCUAACCAAAGAAGAUAUGCAGAUGGAAAAUAUGUAUAUGAGAAGAUGCUUCACUUCAUAUGUUAUUAUGGAAACACAAAUUAAAACAUCAGUGGGUUUCCACUAUAUACCCAUAAGAGUGGCCAAAAUCCAGACUGCUAUCUAAAAUCAAAUGAAAUGUUGUUGAGGAUGUGGGCAACAGGAGUGCUCAUUCACUUCAGGUAGGAAACACAAAGUGGUGAGCCAUUUUGGAAAACAGUUGGACAGUUUCUUAAAAAAAUCUAACUUUAUUUUUCCACACAACCCAGAAGUCAUACUCCUUGGUGUUUGCUCAAAUGAGUAGAAAACAUGUCCACAUGAAAACCCGCACACAGGUGUAGUAAACCCUAAUGUAAACUACAGUCUUUGGGUGAUAUUGAUAUGUCAAUAUUGGCUCAUCAAUCAUAAGAAAUGUACAUACUCUGGCAUGGGAUGGUGACAAUGGGGGAAUCUAUGGACAUGUGGGGACAGAGGAUAUAUAGGAAUUCUCUGUAUCAUCUGCUCGAUUUUGCUGUGAACCUAAAGCUGGUCUAAAAAAAAA
Molecule: long non-coding RNA, 2113 nt
Filed under: Marmota monax (woodchuck)
Lineage: Eukaryota; Metazoa; Chordata; Mammalia; Rodentia; Sciuridae
Source: RNAcentral